Molecule: long non-coding RNA, 261 nt
Filed under: Lathyrus oleraceus (garden pea)
Lineage: Eukaryota; Viridiplantae; Streptophyta; Magnoliopsida; Fabales; Fabaceae
Description: Pisum sativum (pea) long non-coding RNA (PSAT_LNC011744)
Source: RNAcentral
UUGAUUUAAUCAUUGUGCGUGAUUAUACUUCUUCAUAAUGAUUUGAAUUCUCACCCUUUCUGUUUGAAUGUUACCUUUACAUGGGUAUCAUGCAGAUACUCAGGAGUAGUAUUGCUGAAGUAAGUGAACCGUAGCACUCGAGGUUAGCUGGAGAGCUUCGGUGCUUUGUUUUAGAGACUAAGUAGUGAGUCAAUGCUCUGGUCAUGUAACACUGGGUAGGUUGUUAGUAUUGAACUUGUGUCUUAUUUGGAAACGUUUUAU